GAUUCUUUAGUAUAAUUAAGUAUGUUUGACUUCCAAUCAAAGGGUUCUGAGGAUUA
Molecule: transfer RNA, 56 nt
Filed under: Caenorhabditis tribulationis
Lineage: Eukaryota; Metazoa; Nematoda; Chromadorea; Rhabditida; Rhabditidae
Description: tRNA-Gly
Source: RNAcentral